RNAcentral lists this unclassified non-coding RNA (602 nucleotides) under Hevea brasiliensis (rubber tree). Lineage: Eukaryota; Viridiplantae; Streptophyta; Magnoliopsida; Malpighiales; Euphorbiaceae. The record is from RNAcentral.
CUCCAGAUGCCAGCAAGGGAAAGCUGAAUGCAAAACAGAAAGAGCAGAAUAAUUGUAUUCCUGAUGAACACUACGUGCAGACAUUGCUUUCGAUGGCUGAGCUGGAAGGUGAACUUGAAAGAAGGACCUUGACCUAUACUGUUUGGAAUCAGUCGGCAACAAAAAUGGAGAGUAAAGGUUGGCAUCCUAUCACAUUUGCCUAUGCAAAUGCAGGCCGUCAAAAUAUCAGGGAAAUAAAGGAUAUCAACCACGUAUACUAUGAGAGCGAGUACCGAACAGAGUGGUGCCGUACCAACUCAACAUCUGUUUCCUGUUUUCUAUUUGCUAGGAAGUUCUCUAGGGGAGCUGCCGUGCGUCUUUUGAGUGAGGGGGUAGUUGGUCCCUUUGAUGCCUCAGCAUUAUUAGCCACCUCCAACUGAUUUGCAAUAGCCACACGUUUUCUGAUGGCAAUCUUAACUCUCAACUGACCCACUUCAAAAUAUAGUAGGAGCAGCUAUGGAUCGCCCAAACCCAUUACACAGUCGUAGAUACAUAACUAAUAUGAGAGGCUGUUGCAACAACAGCGGCUUUUGGAUUAAUUCCGAAGAAAAAUGAGUUGGAAC